UAUCCAGAAAAGUGAGGCAUAUAGAACUCCAAGUAUCCAUGAUCAAAAACAAUUACACCAAGACACAUAAUAGUCAAGAUUCCAGAAAUUCAACACAAGGAUAGAUUAUUAACAGUUGUUAGAGAAAAGAAAUGAAACAUAAACUCUACAAUGACCCUACCCCAACACCUGAAGAGCCCAUUCAUUUUAAGUACAGGUGGAAUGGUUAUGGAGACAUCACCCGCCAGGGACACAAGAAUACCCCACAGCCAACCUCACACAGCCUGCUCCUUCUGGUUUCAAGGAGCACAGUGUUGCCUAAAGUUGAAUACGAACCCUAAGAAUGCACUCUGGGGUAACUCAGGGGUUAGAGAGGAAACUGAUAAAAUCCUUAAAAUAUUUAGCACCGAGAAGCCACAAGCAUGUUAGUAAAGUAUCAAAAUUAAAAGACAGAGCUAAGAUGUAACUAAAAAACCAUGGGGAGAGGUCAGUAGCCUUAGAUGCAUUUAUUAAAUAAGAAAAAAAUGAAAAAUUUAGCUCAGUGGUGCCGCCACCUGCCUCACAAGUGCAAGGGCCUGAGUUCGAUCCCUGGUACCAAAAAAACCCAAAAAACAAAAAAAAGCAAAAACAAACAAAAAACAGUGGUAGAGUGCCCAUGGGUUGAUCCCUAGAACUGCAAAAAAAAAAAAAAGUACAUAUAUCAAAAGUUUAAGGACCUGUAAAAGAUGGGAUAACCCCUUUGUGACCCAAAGGUAGAUUCUAAAGUUGUGUAAACUUUCAGAGACAAAACGUAAGCCAGACAGGAGGGAAGGAGUGGAAGAGCUGUCCUCCCCCUGCUCUUGACCAUGCACCAGUGUCCAUGCACCGCACCAUCUCGGGCUUCUGCAUGGUGCGAGCCCAACAAGAACUGACCGGGCUUCUUCCGCGCGGGGCAAAACCUACACGAAUCCUCGCGAGGACAUCGAGGACAUCCUGUAAAUUCAGCUUCCUAGGAAGCCAAGACCAGGGGUAGCAGCCAAAAGGUACACGAAGUUUUAACAGCAGAGCCUUGCAUGGUGCAGUGACAUGAAACACUACAUCAGCGCAUGUAACUGAGGGAGGACUCAGAAGGGACUCCAGUGACCUUGCCGAAGUCGGUCCUGCCCCUCUGCAGUUGACAGAGCCCAAAGCCCAGCACAGUCUCUUCCCUGGCAGGAAGAUCCCUGACUGCCUGGCCUAGAGAGACCUCUUGGGCUGGGGCCUGUCACAGCUGACCCCGCACAUCCCUGUCACAGGUCCUGGUGCCUGUCCCAUGAGUGACAGCUUUGGGACUGCUCAGGUGCACAUCUCCCACACUACCAGGCUCCUCGUCCCUCCAGGCCCAGCAUGGCGAAGGCCUCUGGAUGUGGCCGAGUGCAUCACAGGUGGCUGAGGGCAGCGGAUCUGCACUUGACCCGGAGCCUGGGUGCGGCAGGAGGCCUGAGAGUGCUUGUUUGCUGAGCGGAUGAGUCCCAGGAAAGUUUGUGUUUGCCUUCUGGCUCUUGUUUCUCCUCCAGUUCCUCCAAGGCCCCAGCUUCUCUGAACACAGAACACUUUGUGUCACAACUUGCACCAGGUCACAGUGAACAUCACACAAACAGGAACGGGCCUGGGGGCUGCUGGACCCAAGUCAUUCCGGUCCUGCUGCCCACUCGAUGCCAUGGACAUGGCCUUGAGGAGCUUCGCCAGCCUCCCCCGGACACCUGUGCUGGAAGCUCCUCGUGGGCUCCUCUGCAGCCAGAUCCAGAAGGCUGGUGCAGGAGGGGCCACUGCAGGUUUCCCUGAGGGGUCAGCAAGGGAGGAAGUGGCCACACCUGAAGGGGUCACGCUCAGCUCCCAGCCCAACUCUCCUUCCUGGGGAGCCCGACGUCCUCACUGUGCAGCUGAGGAGAGGUGAGCAGGAACAGGAGUUCCAGCCAGGAAUCGUCCCCACAACGAUCACCAGAGAGACCCUUUCCAGCAAGACCCCAUCAGUAAGGACGGAGGGAGGCGGAGACCAAGGGAGAGCCCUAGUGCGGUGCCACUGAGCCCAGGCUGGGUGAACCUCUCCCGAACUCCUAGGAAACUGAGGCCCAGCCAGGAUAGAACAUCUGCUGGCCUCCAGCCCACAAAUUCUGCACAUGGCAGCUACUCUGUGGGGCUGGAGACACCCAAGGUGGGCUGCAGACCAGGAGCCUCCCUCAUCCUUCCAACCCAGCCCUGCUCUGGAAGCCCUCUCUGGGCUGGGAUCAUUGGCAUCAUCUGGGCAGCCUUUGACUCCAGCUCCCUGGUGAAGCUCGGAGAGGGAGGAGGACCUGGGAGUGGAGCUCUUCCUGCCAGCCUGGUCAUCCACCAGGGGCUGCUGCUCUUGCCCCCCUCUCCCAGGAGAGGAAGGGGCGGCUGAGAACAAUGAGCGAGGGGCAGUCCACUCAGAGGCCCGCUGAGACCCACACUCACUCCAGUGGGGGCGAUGCUGCACUAUUAAGAGGCCUCUGGGAGCUGAGAACGGCCCAGCCCCCACCCUGCGCUCUCAGCCGCCUUGGGCUUUGGGGCGGGGCCUGCAUUGCCCACCUCGUAAAAUGCGGCCUCUCUGCUUCUUUCCUGGUUUCUCCAGCCCUGAGCUGUGAUCGCCCCUCCAUCAAAGGACCCGCUGCUCCUACAGCGUGCACAGAAGGCCUCCCCCAACGUGUGUGUGUGUGGGGGGGUUAACUCCUACUCUUGAAUUUUCAUCUUUUUCUCAUUUUUCUGACUAAUCAAAACCUGAAAAGGCAACUGGUCCCAAGUAGAACACGAUAUAUUUGCACUGUAGAUAAUCUUACAUUUUAAAGAAGAGAUUAAAAUUGUCA
Non-coding RNA from Heterocephalus glaber (naked mole-rat), 2822 nucleotides. NCBI's taxonomy places the organism in Eukaryota, Metazoa, Chordata, Mammalia, Rodentia, Bathyergidae. The record is from RefSeq and is a predicted model, not a curated record.